RNAcentral lists this ribosomal RNA (1686 nucleotides) under Leporinus affinis. RNAcentral describes it as "16S rRNA". It matches the Rfam family "Bacterial large subunit ribosomal RNA". The record is from RNAcentral. Lineage: Eukaryota; Metazoa; Chordata; Actinopteri; Characiformes; Anostomidae.
GCUAAACAGCUAGCUCGACUAUCAAAGCCAAAACCACAACAUUUUUCAUCUUUUUAAGAAACUAAAAAACUAAACUAAAACAUUCUUCUGCCUUAGUACGGGCGACGGAAAAGGCACUUAGCCAAGCAAUAGAAAAAGUACCGCAAGGGAAAGCUGAAAGAGAAGUGAAAAAACCCAUUUAAGCCUAAAAAAGCAGAGACUAAACCUCGUACCUUUUGCAUCAUGAUUUAGCUAGCACACCUGAGCAAAGAGAACUUUAGUUCAAAACCCCGAAACCAAGUGAGCUACCCCGAGACAGCCUAUAAUAGGGCCAACCCGUCUCUGUGGCAAAAGAGUGGGAAGAUCUCCAGGUAGAGGUGACAAACCUACCGAACUUGGUGAUAGCUGGUUGCCUAGGAAACGGAUAGAAGUUCAGCCUCGUACCCCUCAGCUCAAACAAGAACUACACCACACGAGAUCGAGCAACAUACGAGAGUUAGUCAAAGGGGGUACAGCCCCUUUGAACCAGGACACAACCUGCCCAGGAGGUUAAGGAUCACACUAAACAAGAUCACUGCUCCAGUGGGCCUAAAAGCAGCCACCUGAACAGAAAGCGUUAAAGCUCAGGCAGAACCAGAUCUAUUAUUCUGAUAUAUUUUUUCCAAACCCCUCCCCCCCCUACUAGGCCACUCCAUGCUUACAUGGAAGAGAUUAUGCUAAAAUGAGUAAUAAGAAGGAACCCCCUUCUCCCGGCCCAUGUGUAAGUCAGAUUGGACCAACCACUGACAAUUAACGAGCCCAACCAAAGAGGGUAAUGUGAUAACAAAGAAAACCAAGAAACCCCCACACAAGACCAAUCGUUAACCCAACACUGGAGUGCCACAAGGGAAAGACUAAAAGAAAAGGAAGGAACUCGGCAAACACAAGCCUCGCCUGUUUACCAAAAACAUCGCCUCCUGCAAAAAUCAAUGUAUAGGAGGUCCCACCUGCCCAGUGACUAUUAGUUAAACGGCCGCGGUAUUUUGACCGUGCUAAGGUAGCGCAAUCACUUGUCUUUUAAAUGAAGACCUGUAUGAAUGGUAUAACGAGGGCUUAACUGUCUCCCUUCUCCAGUCAAUGAAAUUGAUCUACCCGUGCAGAAGCGGGUAUAAAAAUACAAGACGAGAAGACCCUUUGGAGCUUAAGACAAAAAGCCAACCGUGUUAAAAGCCCCCAGCAAAAUUAGGCUAAACAAAACAGCAACUGGCCAACGUCUUCGGUUGGGGCGACCGCGGGGGAAAACAAAGCCCCCAUGUGGACUGGGAAUUUUCCUAAAACUAAGAGAUACAUCUCUAAGUCACAGAACAUCUGACCUAAAGAUCCGGCCCGUCAAGCCGAUCAACGAACCAAGUUACCCUAGGGAUAACAGCGCAAUCCUCUUCAAGAGUCCAUAUCGACAAGAGGGUUUACGACCUCGAUGUUGGAUCAGGACAUCCUAAUGGUGCAGCCGCUAUUAAGGGUUCGUUUGUUCAACGAUUAAAGUCCUACGUGAUCUGAGUUCAGACCGGAGCAAUCCAGGUCAGUUUCUAUCUGUAAAUGUUAUUUUUCCUAGUACGAAAGGACCGGAAAAACGAGGCCCCUGCUCUAAGCACGCCCCACUCUAACUUGAUGAAACCAACUAAACCAAACAAAAGAGAGCACCCUCUUUCAAGCCCGAGAUAAGAGCUU